Long non-coding RNA from Talpa occidentalis (Iberian mole), 1716 nucleotides. RefSeq lists it as uncharacterized. The transcript has 4 exons. NCBI's taxonomy places the organism in Eukaryota, Metazoa, Chordata, Mammalia, Eulipotyphla, Talpidae. The record is from RefSeq and is a predicted model, not a curated record.
UUCUGGACACGCCUCUUCAGAUUUCUUUCCGUUUGUGAAAACAGAUAUUAAUGAAGGUCAUUCAAAAACUGAAGUGGCUUACCUCAGACUUCCAAAAGCAGGGCAUGCCAGUACUUGAUUUGACAGUCCAGUGAGUGACGUCAAGCUCCUGACGGCCGGGACCGGUUUCUUCAGAGAAACUUUUUUUUUUUAAAGAUUUAUUUUUAUUUAUACAAGAGCUGGGGUCCAGGCCAGAUGCACAGGAGGGUGAGAGGAUUCAGCAGAGACAGAGCGGGGAGCAGAACAGGCAGACUGACGAAAUACAUUGCUGAGGGGAGCAGCGGGCGAGACAGGAGAGGUCUGCCGUGCCAUGUGGGACGCUCGCCCGGCGGCCGGAAUCGAACCCGCGCUGCAGAGGCUGCUGACAGCUUCAUAGCACGGCGCUCAACCGCCUGCGACACCAGAGAGGCCCUUCCUCAGAGAAACUUUGUGAAGAAAUCAGGGGACCUGACUGUCCCGUAAGGUCCCUCUGCCUCUAACUCACCGCCGCUCAGCGCGACACUGCCCGCCACCCAGGGAGCAGCACUGCCAGGCUUGCGGGGGGACCCCAGGCAGAGGAAAGGCCCCUGGGUAGAUUCAUCCCAGUGUGUCAGCUGUGCACUGACAGAGGUGUUGCUGGGGAAAAUCCAGACCUACCCGCUGCACGGUUGUCCGUAACACGAUUUUCCCAAAUGAUGCUGCCUCCAAGCUCCCCACCAGCCAGAAGUUAGAGAAUGAUCAGACCUUUGGACAAUGAACAUAAAGCCUGAAAGAAGUUGGAUUUCUUUCUGGUCUACUAGCAAGUAUGGUAAAAGUUGGAAAAGAUAUGUAAGAAUUCUUCCCAGUGAUGAAGAGGAGAAAUAGGGCAUGGAACUCUGGCCUCUGGCUUCCGAUCCAACACCUCCUUCUUGCCAAGCCCUAAGCUGCUCAGGAAGAUGAGAAAAUGAAGGGAAUUGGCGUGAGUAGAGGCCUAAUACCUUAGGGGCGACUUUUAUUGUAAAAGUUCUUUUUAAAGCCUCUGCUUUUAGAGUCUCAUUUGGUCCCUCAAAAAGGUUUGAGAUAUAUAGCAACCCAUGAAAAGGAGACAGAAAAGUUAUAACAUAUGAGCCAAACAGUUUGAAAUACUGAUGUCUUUAAAAGAGGUACCUCUCCAAUUUGAGAAAGAUUGCAUUUCUAACUUAACAUAUUAACUACUGGACUGACAUACAGUGUCUUUAAACAAAGCUCCCUGCUAAGACAGCCUGGUUUUUAUGCACUAUUUGUUCACCUACUCUAACAUACAGCAGAUCCUGAGUAUAUGUCAUCUGUGGAUAACUAAGACUGUGAUAACACAGAACGGUUGAUCACAGAUCUAAACUGGCAUUUGGUUUACCCUGACAAUAACCUGAAAAUAUCUCUGUAGAUACUCACAUGGAUAAACACAGUCGACAGUUAUUUGGUUUACCCUGUUUUGCAUUGACUGGAACUUAGAAAUGCAGGUUUCAAUUGGAUAAAAACUGAGCAGCUAAAACAUUCUGCCUGGCAAUAGAGAAAGGAAACUGCAUAUGGCCGAAACCCUCCCCAGCCGAGGUGUCUGUCACCAAAAAAAGGGCUAUAUUUGUAAAUGUUAACAAAAGCUAAACACAGGGUUUCGCUAUGGUAAGAAAAUGCCACACUCCCCUUCUCCAUAAAUUGGGUUUCUAGGAAGCAAUCCCUCCC